GCUCCAUUUGACUGGAUAGAAUUGUACAUCAGAGCUUCCUGUUCCUGUGUCCAGACUAAGAAGCUCCAGUUUACUGGAUAGAUUGAAGCAGAGUUCAAUCUUCACCCUAACUUCAAAG
This is a long non-coding RNA of Sinocyclocheilus anshuiensis, 118 nucleotides long. RefSeq lists it as uncharacterized. Lineage: Eukaryota; Metazoa; Chordata; Actinopteri; Cypriniformes; Cyprinidae. The record is from RefSeq and is a predicted model, not a curated record. The transcript is spliced from 3 exons.